This 29-nucleotide non-coding RNA is filed under the name Rattus norvegicus (Norway rat). The record is from RNAcentral. Lineage: Eukaryota; Metazoa; Chordata; Mammalia; Rodentia; Muridae.
UACACAUGUAGGGAGAGCAUACCGGUGUA